CACUGCUGGAUGUCUGCUAGUGAGAGACAUGAGCUGAUGGGGUGUGCUGACCGCAGAAGCAAAAAUGAGCUUAACCUAAGGACCUGAGUUCACCUGAAGGAUGUAUGGGGAAAGACUGUCCCUCACUACCUAACCUUCACAGAGACAUCAGCUGCCUGGAAGCCAGUCUUCUAGCAGCCUUCAGAUGAAGAUGUAGAACUCUCAGUUCCUCCUGUACCAUGCCUGCCUGGAUGCUGCAAUGUUCUUGCCUUGGUGAUAACGGACUGAAUCUCUGAACCUGGAAGCCAGCCCCAAUUAAAUGUGGUCCUUAUAU
Molecule: non-coding RNA, 313 nt
Organism: Rattus norvegicus (Norway rat)
Lineage: Eukaryota; Metazoa; Chordata; Mammalia; Rodentia; Muridae
Source: RefSeq, a predicted model, not a curated record